Molecule: unclassified non-coding RNA, 1816 nt
Filed under: Hevea brasiliensis (rubber tree)
Lineage: Eukaryota; Viridiplantae; Streptophyta; Magnoliopsida; Malpighiales; Euphorbiaceae
Source: RNAcentral
AUUAAAAAAAAAAAAAGAAAAAGAAAACCUCAAACAAUGAUUCUUUCUUUUUAUGUAUAGACUACUUUUGAAGGCAGAUCAUUCUGUAAAGGCAUACUAUGGAGAUGCUUGCAUAUCAGAAUGAAAAAAUAAAAUCCAAAGAACAAGAAGAGGAAUCCGGAAGAUUCAUUGUGAUAUUCAAAUUCAAUAUACCAGAAGAACCUCAUAAUAUAAAAUCAUCAAUCAAGAAACGUAAAAUCAACAGAUCCAACAAAUAAAACAAACCAAUUAGCCAUAUGGAUAGAUUAUAAGAAAUCUAAGAAUCAAUCAAAUCAAAUAAAGGGAUUAGAUCAAAGUAUACCAAGAACAAAGGAAAUGGAAUCGGACAAAGAGCAGCUUCCUUGACCCUGUUAGUAUCUUCCCACAGCUUUAUUGAACCGCAACAAAACAAGAAGCAAGAAGCCGCUUAAUUGGCCAGCCGUGGCAUGCAACAACCACCAGUUCGUAGUAGAGAUGCAGUUCAAGAAAGCUGUGGAAGAAUACGAAGAGGGUCAUUCAUAUAAGCAUUACCAUAUGCAUAGGACACGAAAACAAAGAGGCCUCCAUCUAAAAAACCCUAGAAGGAAAAGAAAGAAAGAAAAAAAAAGAAAAUCUCGCAAUUUAUUUGUACGUUCAAUUUCCUUUAUCAAUUUACCACAAAAUCAGCAGGAAACCGUGACAUCUGCUUCCCUUGUGCCGAUUGCUGACAUGGCGUCUCUACGGUUAAAUCGUUAUGGUUAGUUACAGCGAGGAAGGGAGACGAAGCGGUUACUGGCAAAAAGAAAAUGUCGAGUAAGGGUUAGUUAACGAGCGUUGGGUUAGAAACAGGAAAAAAGGUAAAGCAAAAAACAAGAAAAAGGUAAAAAAGUUUCAGUUACUUAACGGCGUUAAGGUACGUUUUCUGUUUCAUAUUCUAGUUUGGCUCUAUAAAAAGGUCGUUUUGUUGCAGCUUCUUCUCUGACUCCACACUUGUUCUUUCAAUACUCUCUGCUUUUUCCCUUUUAUCAACAUUACUACAGAGAGGAAAGAGAAAGAGAGGAAAUGGCAAUGGCGGUGCCUUCCAAAUGGGUUUGUGUGUGCGCGACUGUGCUUGUGGUGAUGUUUGUCGGAGUUGCAGCCACUGUUCGAAACGAUGGGAUCUCUGGUCUUACCAGGUAUAUACAUGCAUUUUUAUAUUCAUGUAUACCUUUUGCUUCUCUUGGAUUUUGCAAAUGGCUGUCACUUGUUACUUUGAUUUUACUGGUUUGUGCGUAUGCGAAACAAAGUAUCCUCUGUUUUACUAUAUUCACUUUCCACUUGUUCUUUUUGGUGACUUUUGAUGUUAGAAUCAAAAGUUUAGCUGCAUUAUCUUGUUUCCAGGUAGUUUUCACGACUACUUCGGUUUCGUUCUUGAAUUUUUGUUGUUUUUUAAAAAAUACGCUACGCAAUGCUGCUUUCUUGUACUUUAUGAGUUUGCUUAGGCGAUAGUUAUUAAUUAUUUGGGUUUUUUUGCCUUCACAUUUUCCUGUUUUAUCCAGAAAAUCUAGCUGCAUUAUUUGGUUUUUAGGUGAAACGACACUUAGCGAAAAUCAGUGUUUGAUAGAGUCCUGAAAUCCUUUUUCAUGUUCUUGAAUACCUUUCAAAAAUUUGGGGCUUUUGCAUCUUAUCUACGAUUUUUUGGUGACUCUAUCAAACAACUUUUUCACAUUGCUUUCAAAAUCUGUUCAUCUUCAUUUAUUUUUCGUCUCUUUCUCUCUUACCAGAAGUGGUGUGAGGUCACAUGGAAUUUAAUGAGCUGCACAGAGACAGAGAGAGUACA